This is a long non-coding RNA of Mangifera indica (mango), 1420 nucleotides long. RefSeq lists it as uncharacterized. The transcript has 2 exons. The record is from RefSeq and is a predicted model, not a curated record. NCBI's taxonomy places the organism in Eukaryota, Viridiplantae, Streptophyta, Magnoliopsida, Sapindales, Anacardiaceae.
AAUUUUAUGAUUUAUUUUUCCUUCUUAUUAUGCACACUAUGUGGUUCCAAAUUUAAGUUGAAUUUUUUUCUCAAAGUUUGAUAAUUCUUUUACUUAGUCGGACCUACGUAAACUGAGGAUUCUGUUGUAUUUACUAAUAUUGCAAAAGUCCUUUGAGGAACCUGUAGGGUACUUUUAACUUUGUAUUACAAUAAAAGUGCUGUUUAGUCAUGACUGUUCAGUUUUUCUUUAUUUUUGAUAAGAAUGAUUAUUUCUAAGUGUUUAGUUUGCUCUAAUGUCAGACUUUGAUUUUUGGAUUGAUAAACUAUUGCCUUUGGAGUGAUUACCCAUGCUUGCGUUUUUGUGAACUGAAGUGACGUAGUAGUUAUGAAUGAACAAUGGAUUAACUUUGACUUACAAAUGAAUCGGCAUUAUGUGGUUGACGAGGUGGUUGUGUUUUCCUUAGUAAGGUUAAUUUCAGGAUUACAAUGACUUGGUGGUGAUGAAGGUGCAUUUGUUAGUAUGUAAUAAUGGUGGUUUUGGUGGUGGAAAUGAUAGUGGCAAUGUUAAUUGCAGGUGCUGAUGUAGGUAACAUCGAUAAUGACACCUAGUGUUGGCUUGGGCAUGUAGAUGGGAAAGUUGUGAUGUGGUGUUUGAGAGUGGUCACAAUUGCUUCUCUUCCAUCAAAUGUUAGUAUAGUUACACAAUUUGUGACAAUAUGUUAGGAGCUACGGUUUUUGGGGACACGUGUCCUAAUUUUAGAGGGUAGGGUUUACUAUAUAAAGGGUAGUUAGGGUUGUAAAAGGGAGAAAGGAAGAAAAUUAGGGUUCAGGUAGUUUUGGCUGCGGGUAGCCGUGUCGGAAUUGUGAGGUCACGACUAAUUGAAUUGUCAGUUUAUCCACUUAUGGUAAAUAUUGAACCCUCUUUAUCAAUAAAAUUCCUUCAUUUUAGUUGCUUUUGGGUGAGUUUACUUUUUUGAUUGAUUGAAUAUUGGAUUGGUUUCUAACAUUUUGGUAUCAAAGCGGUGAGAUUUGGGGUUUCUGGUGCAAUUUUGUCAUGGAAGAAUGCGAAUUGCCACAGGAAAAGCUGAAUCAAUGGUGAAGUGGUCUGCUACCAAAGAAAAGAAAAAUCCAAUUUUCACGCCUUAAAGACAAGGUGAUUCUCAAAGGGGCAAGUGAUGUUAGGAGCUAGGGCUUUUGGGACACACAUCCCAAUUUUAGAGGGCAGGCUUUCGUACAUUAAGGGUAGUUAGGGCUGUAAAACGAAGGAAGAAAUUUAAGGUUUAGGCAGCUUUGGCUAUGGGCAGUAUUUUAGGCUGAUUCGAGAGGUUUUGGCGCCUUGAAUAACCAGAAUUGGGAGGCUCCGACUCUUCGGAUUGCUGGUUUAUCCACGUAUUGUAAAUAUUGAACCCCUUUUAUCAAUAAAAUAGCCAUUUCCUUCA